CUGAUCUAGUUGGGUUUAAAGCGUGCGCAGGCGGUUUUGUAAGACAGAGGUGAAAUCCCCGGGCUCAACCUGGGAACUGCCUUUGUGACUGCAAGGCUGGAGUGCGGCAGAGGGGGAUGGAAUUCCGCGUGUAGCAGUGAAAUGCGUAGAUAUGCGGAGGAACACCGACGGCGAAGGCAAUCCCCUGGGCCUGCACUGACGCUCAUGCACGAAAGCGUGGGGAGCAAACA
RNAcentral lists this ribosomal RNA (230 nucleotides) under uncultured Alicycliphilus sp. Its description in RNAcentral is "partial 16S ribosomal RNA". It matches the Rfam family "Bacterial small subunit ribosomal RNA", at positions 554 to 774 of the family's 1533-position model. The record is from RNAcentral. Lineage: Bacteria; Pseudomonadati; Pseudomonadota; Betaproteobacteria; Burkholderiales; Comamonadaceae.